This 536-nucleotide ribosomal RNA is filed under the name uncultured bacterium. RNAcentral describes it as "partial 16S ribosomal RNA". It matches the Rfam family "Bacterial small subunit ribosomal RNA", at positions 355 to 901 of the family's 1533-position model. The record is from RNAcentral.
UGGGGAAUAUUGCACAAUGGGCGCAAGCCUGAUGCAGCAACGCCGCGUGAGGGACGACGGCCUUCGGGUUGUAAACCUCUUUUAGUAGGGAAGAAGCGAAAGUGACGGUACCUGCAGAAAAAGCACCGGCUAACUACGUGCCAGCAGCCGCGGUAAUACGUAGGGUGCGAGCGUUGUCCGGAAUUAUUGGGCGUAAAGAGCUCGUAGGCGGUCUGUCGCGUCUGCUGUGAAAACCCGAGGCUCAACCUCGGGCCUGCAGUGGGUACGGGCAGACUAGAGUGCGGUAGGGGAGAAUGGAAUUCCUGGUGUAGCGGUGGAAUGCGCAGAUAUCAGGAGGAACACCGAUGGCGAAGGCAGUUCUCUGGGCCGUAACUGACGCUGAGGAGCGAAAGCGUGGGGAGCGAACAGGAUUAGAUACCCUGGUGUCCACGCCGUAAACGUUGGGCGCUAGAUGUGGGGCACCAUUCCACGGUUUCCGUGUCGCAGCUAACGCAUUAAGCGCCCCGCCUGGGGAGUACGGCCGCAAGGCUAAAACU